Molecule: long non-coding RNA, 603 nt
Filed under: Setaria viridis
Lineage: Eukaryota; Viridiplantae; Streptophyta; Magnoliopsida; Poales; Poaceae
Description: long non-coding RNA (SVIR_LNC010716)
Source: RNAcentral
GGUGAACAAGAGGUUGUCUAGGUUUCACUAGAUAGUACACCGACCACACGAGUUAGGUCGUAUAGCCUUGCGAGGGGGAGGAGGAAAAGGCAUGACCCCGAGGUCGGUAGGAGGAACCCCCUAAGCUUGUGAGCAAGCGAGCUACUGAACAGGUCAGGAAGCCCCGAGCGUUUAAGGACAGCUUGGGAAAGAGAAACAGUAAGGCAGUAGGUACGCAAAAAGAACCGCAGGGGUGUUAUUUAUUGAAUAUAAAAAGGGAAAUAGAGUACAUAGCUUUAUAUUCUAAGGGUAGAAGUGUCGUAGAUGCUCGAUGUUCCAUGGAUUGGGGAUGCUAGAGUCAUCAGCCCAUUGUAGUCAGUAGGUGCCUAGUUGGAUAACCUCUUUGACGAUGAAGGGGCCUUCCCAAGGGGUGGCCAAUUUGUGCAUGUCUUUGGUGGACUGAACUCGGCGAAGCACGAAGUCACCAACGUUAAAGGAGCAUUUCCUGACGUUGCGGUCGUGGUAACGCCAUAUCUGCUGCUCAUGGCAUGCAUGCUAGAGGAGGGCUACCACGCAAUGCUCUUCAAAGCUGUCAAUAUCAACCUGCCAAUUUCUUUCUGCCCC